Molecule: ribosomal RNA, 490 nt
Filed under: uncultured bacterium
Lineage: Bacteria
Description: partial 16S ribosomal RNA
Rfam family: Bacterial small subunit ribosomal RNA
Source: RNAcentral
AUUGAACGCUGGCGGCAGGCCUAACACAUGCAAGUCGAACGGUAACAGGAAACAGCUUGCUGUUUCGCUGACGAGUGGCGGACGGGUGAGUAAUGUCUGGGAAACUGCCUGAUGGAGGGGGAUAACUACUGGAAACGGUAGCUAAUACCGCAUAACGUCGCAAGCCCAAAGAGGGGGACCUUCGGGCCUCUUGCCAUCGGAUGUGCCCAGAUGGGAUUAGCUAGUAGGUGGGGUAACGGCUCACCUAGGCGACGAUCCCUAGCUGGUCUGAGAGGAUGACCAGCCACACUGGAACUGAGACACGGUCCAGACUCCUACGGGAGGCAGCAGUGGGGAAUAUUGCACAAUGGGCGCAAGCCUGAUGCAGCCAUGCCGCGUGUAUGAAGAAGGCCUUCGGGUUGUAAAGUACUUUCAGCGGGGAGGAAGGGAGUAAAGUUAAUACCUUUACUCAUUGACGUUACCCGCAGAAGAAGCACCGGCUAACUACGUG